UGGGGGCGGAAAUACCAAGGAAAACCCUUGU
RNAcentral lists this non-coding RNA (31 nucleotides) under Rattus norvegicus (Norway rat). Lineage: Eukaryota; Metazoa; Chordata; Mammalia; Rodentia; Muridae. The record is from RNAcentral.